CAGCAAAAAUCAAGUGUUCAUUUGAUGAACUUCAUUUCCUAAAACAUCCAGAAUUGGAGCUCAUAUCUUUGGCAGCUGUAAAGUUUCUGCUCCUUCAAAGUUCACAACACAAUGAAUUAAUUCCUAAAACACUCUCAAUGCUGGAGAACGUUUGUGAUGCUGAAGCAGUGACCAGUUUUUCUGUUUCUUCUCUGGAGAUGCACAAUGAGGGACGUCUGCAGAGACUGAGAAAGAGUCUCACCACAUCCUGACAUGAGGAAAAAGACUUUAUUGAAGACUACAAUGAGAAAAACUAUCAGACAGCAGAUGGCUGCAUUCAAGGCUACAGGAGGAGCCCUACGAGGACGAGCCGGUCCACCUGAUGGCGGCCAGUCGCUGCGGUUCAAAGCCAACACCGACUACAUGGACUUCUACUGGACCACACGGAGGCCUUCAAACCGGAC
This is a long non-coding RNA of Amphiprion ocellaris (clown anemonefish), 443 nucleotides long. NCBI's taxonomy places the organism in Eukaryota, Metazoa, Chordata, Actinopteri, Pomacentridae. The record is from Ensembl.